AUGCCACUCUUUUCUUUAAUGUCUCUAAUAUUCUUUAUUCUGUCUUGUUAGGGUAUUUGGGAUUUAAUUUAGCUCCUUCUAUAAGGGAUCUUCGAGAAAGAGAAAGGAGAGAGGAAGUGAGGUGGAAAGGAGAGAAAGAAAGGAAAAAGGUUCUUGAGGGAAGGUUCUAAAGAAGAAGGGAAAUCUUAAGAGAGAAAAGAGGGAAAAAAAAAAUUCUAUUCCCACAUUUAACUACUAUUGUAUCAAAGGUUUCAAUGGCCGAUGGUCCCUUUAAAUCGAAGGUUUUAGAAUACCCAUACUUUAACAGUUAAUUCUGCUUAUUAGAAUUUGGUUUCCCUUAAAUUAUCUUUAUCAUUUAGUAUUUAGGUCACCGGGGCCUAAGAGAAUAUUUCAUCCAUGGGUGCAUAUUUCAGUCG
RNAcentral lists this unclassified non-coding RNA (416 nucleotides) under Hevea brasiliensis (rubber tree). Lineage: Eukaryota; Viridiplantae; Streptophyta; Magnoliopsida; Malpighiales; Euphorbiaceae. The record is from RNAcentral.